This 460-nucleotide ribosomal RNA is filed under the name uncultured bacterium. RNAcentral's name for it is "partial 16S ribosomal RNA". It matches the Rfam family "Bacterial small subunit ribosomal RNA", at positions 338 to 795 of the family's 1533-position model. The record is from RNAcentral.
GCUACGGGGGGCUGCAGUGAGGAAUAUUGGUCAAUGGGCGCAAGCCUGAACCAGCCAAGUCGCGUGAGGGAUGACGGUCCUAUGGAUUGUAAACCUCUUUUGUCGGGGAGCAAGGCCCGCCACGUGUGGCGGGAAGGAGAGUACCCGAAGAAAAAGCAUCGGCUAACUCCGUGCCAGCAGCCGCGGUAAUACGGGGGAUGCGAGCGUUAUCCGGAUUUAUUGGGUUUAAAGGGUGCGUAGGCGGAAGGUUAAGUCAGCGGUCAAAUGUCGGUGCGCAACACCGGCCUGCCGUUGAAACUGGUCUUCUUGAGUGAGCGAGAAGUAUGCGGAACGCGUGGUGUAGCGGUGAAAUGCAUAGAUAUCACGAAGAACUCCGAUUGCGAAGGCAGCUUACUAAACUGCCACUGACAUUGAUGCUCGAAAGUGUGGGUAUCAAACAGGAUUAGAUACCCUUGUAGUC